CACUGCGGGGACUUCUUGCCCUUCUCCUCCUUUUUCUUCUUCACUUUGAGCUUCUUGGCCUGGCCCCAGGUGGCUUCGUGCUGCUUGGAGCCGGCAGCAUGGGACUGUGGGACGGAGGGCAGCGCGGGGAGAGGCGUUGGGUUGGACUGGAAGCGGGACGGCGCCGACCCAGCCCUGGCCUGCCUUGGGCGAGGGGCGGCUCUUACCUUCCCCUCCGCAUCCGAGUCACUGGAGGAGCUGCUGCUGCUGCUGCUGGAGUCUGAGGAGCUGCCACCGCCAUGCUUGGGCGUGUGGGAGGGUGACAGUGAGGGCGGGGAACCCCUUGCCCAGACCCCCCACCCCCAAGUCGGGAAGCCGAGGUGCGACAAGAUCAGGACCAGAGCCAAGCCCUGGUCGCCCCAUCCCCCUCUGCGUGCCUGGUGGUGAGGUGACUUACCCUUGGUUGCGGAGGUGCCCCUGUCUCUGACCGGCCCUGAGCUUUGGGGGGACUGUGCCUGGGGUCCCUCACCUGGCCUGCCCCCUCCGGCUUCUUGGAAGUGGAGUCCAGGGCUGCGGAGAAAGAAGUUGGGUCGGGUGGGGGGGUGGCAAUGGCCUUCCGGUGACCGCCGUGCAGUCUGCCCCGCGACACCGCAACUCACUCCUCAGGAGCUCACCUGUUGCCAGGUCGAACUCCAUGGUGGUGCGGAGCAGGUGCGUCCCGAGGGCCCGGAGGGCUGGCAGUGUCGCAGGGCGGGUUCGGGGCGGCCAAACCUGUCCGCCCCAGGAAUUCCGACGAGUCCCACCCUCCCAACCUUUGUCCCGCAGCUACUGGGUCCUGACUCACCCGCCCCUCCCUGUAGGAAAAGUCAGCUGCCUGCUCCGGGUCUAGGCCUCCGACGGGUGGGGCUGGGGUGCGGGCAGGUCCCUGGGGAGCGGAUUGAGGGCUGCUGUGAGCUUCCUCUCAAAAGGUCAGAAGGCUGCCCUGAAAGAAUGUCCCUGCAUCCCAUAAUAAGCGACGCCUGGCAGGCACUAGUGCGGGCGGCUCCUGACCAGGCUCUUGGAGUAUUUCGCUCAGGCUCAGCCCUCGCCCGCCUAGGCUGGAGGGGGCCUGCUGCCUUCCAGGCGCAGCUGGGAGCCUGUGUCAGCAGCACAGCGACUUCCAGAAAGUUGAUUCGCUCCGGGUGAAGACAGCUACCCGCUCGGGCUGAGAGAUUGGGUGGAUUGGCGUCCUGGACUGGCUGGGGCACAGGCAGAUUAAUACCCUGGAGAGUGCCACGUGUUGGUUUGGCUUGGUUUUGGAUAAAGGCAGGUGUCUUAGUUUGGGCUGCUUAACAAAUACAUCACAGAUGGAGCCGCUUAAACCACAGUGCAUUUCUCAAUCCUGAGGCUGGGAGUUCCAGACCAAGGUACCAGCAGCGCUAGUGCGUGGAGGGCCACUUCCUGGCUGGGGAACAGCUGCCUUCUCCCUACCUCCUCACCUGCCCAAGAGCAAGAUCUGAGGACACUAAUCACAUUCCUGUGAGCUCCACCCUCGGGACCUCGCAAGAGUCCCACUUCCAAAUACCAUCAGCUGGGAUUGAGCUUAAACAUGUGAAUUUGGAGGACACAGGCAUCCAGUCCAGGACAGUAGUCUUGUUACUAUUUUACAGAGAAGAAGGCCGAGCGGGUACCGGUGAGAUGCGGAACGGACCACGGGAACAGUGACCAUUUAUUGACUAUCUACUUCUCACUGACUAUAAGGAAGAAGAUGGGUGGGAAGAAACCUGAGAAGCCCUGUGGUGAGGCUGACCGUCAUGGCGGGGAGCGUGUGGCAGAGCGAAGUUACUCACCUAAUGGUGGCUAGGAGACCAAGCUCCAUCACAAGGAAGAAGCUGGGGACAAGAUAUACCCUUCAAGGACUCGCCCCAGUCACCUACGACCUCCAAGUAGGCCAGCCUCCUCACAUUUCCACCAGCCUUCCAUGGCGCCACCACCCGGGAGCAAGCCUUCAACACACGUGCCUUUGGGGGACAGUCUAGACCCAAAGUAAAACAAAUACUGACUCCCGGCUACAGCGGACCCUUCUCACCUGAAGGAAGCAGCCAUCCUCAAGGGACCACUAUGACCCUGAGGCUUUUACGUAAUUGCUGCAAUUUAGGAAGAGAUUUCUGGAUUCUGACUUUGAGGAUAGGGAAGUCCGGGUGGCGUGGGAUGGCGUGGGUUGAGGGGAGGGGCUGUCCCCCGUGGGCCUGGUGCUCCUGAGCAUCUGGGGCCUGACAUGGUUGACUGGAAAGGCAUCUGCAGCAACUAGGUUUAGUCUUUCCUGGAGUUCACAAGGGUGGAGCGCCCAGCCCUAUAAACAUCAUGAUCCCUGUUCUGGAAAAUUUUCUUUGAAAUCAACCACAUCCUAGCCGACGGAUGACCUGAAGCACACAGCACGCAGAGGCUGUUUCCUUUCCCACCGGACAACAACGCUGCGCUGGCCUUUGACUACAGCCCAUCUUGCUCUGGCCCUUGAUGUCCUGGGAUAUUUAU
Molecule: long non-coding RNA, 2493 nt
Organism: Sciurus carolinensis (gray squirrel)
Lineage: Eukaryota; Metazoa; Chordata; Mammalia; Rodentia; Sciuridae
Exons: 3
Source: RefSeq, a predicted model, not a curated record